This 76-nucleotide transfer RNA is filed under the name Rhodoferax sp. RNAcentral describes it as "tRNA-Gly". It matches the Rfam family "tRNA". Rfam says of the family: Transfer RNA (tRNA) molecules are approximately 80 nucleotides in length. Their secondary structure includes four short double-helical elements and three loops (D, anti-codon, and T loops). The record is from RNAcentral. Lineage: Bacteria; Pseudomonadati; Pseudomonadota; Betaproteobacteria; Burkholderiales; Comamonadaceae.
GCGGCUGUAGCUCAGUGGAUAGAGUAUUGGCCUCCCAAGCCAAGGGUCGCUGGUCCGAUUCCAGCCAGCCGCACCA